RNAcentral lists this long non-coding RNA (15589 nucleotides) under Malus domestica (apple). RNAcentral describes it as "long non-coding RNA (MDOM_LNC014330)". The record is from RNAcentral. Lineage: Eukaryota; Viridiplantae; Streptophyta; Magnoliopsida; Rosales; Rosaceae.
AAUUUGCAGGUCAAGUUAUUAAGAUUGCUUAUCCUUAUACAUGAAAUCCUCUGUUCAAAAUUCAAAUACCCCAUCUUCCUUACGCUUAGUCUUUUUGUAUGUGAAAAGACCUAUAUACCUAGGUCAAAUAAAGGGUUAAACGUAUAUUACAGAGUCAUAUGAAAGAGUCGAACUUAAAUUCAUCUUGGCCGAAAAAUGAACAACAGAGUUAGAUUUGUUCGACUUAGAUUUGAUGGUUAAACAAAUUUGCUAUUCGUCAAAAGUGGUAAUUUCAAUUUUUGUGUCAUUCCCCAAUUAAAUUUAAGAUAAUCAAAAGCAUAUAUAGCCUAUUGAAAUAACACACUAAUUCUCCCUUGUGGUUUUGCAGAAGUACAAUAUGUUCAUGGCACAAAUAGGUUGUGCAGCAAUUGGUGUACUGACAUUUUCCACAUUUGGCCCAGGAUGGCUUGCUAGGAGCGUUGCCCUAGCUGCAUCCGUUGCUUUCAUGAUUUGCACACGUUCCGCACAUCCACCUGGUAAUUCCUGCUACCUCCUAUCCAACACAAAAUUCUCAUUAAUCUCUUUUUUCUGCUACUAAAAUCUGGUGCACAACUUAUUCUGUGUUCAAUUUGCAGCUGCAAGCUUGCCUUUACUCUUCAUCGAUGGAGCGAAGUUCCAUAACUUGAGUUUCUGGUAUGCUUUGUUCCCGGGCACCGCUGGAUGCGUUCUUCUUUGCUUGAUUGUAAGCACUCUUACACUAAUUAAUCCUAGCCAAUUGCAAAACUUGUUUGCUUAUUUGUUCUGAACACAUUUCAACACUUUUAGUAUGCAAUGGCUGAUCUCACUAAUUAUCUCGAUGUUUCUGCAGCAAGAAAUAGUGUUAUACUUGAAGGAAAACUUCAAAUUUUGAUCAUCUGGAAGCAAACACAUGCUUGGCUACUCACAUAGUUGGAGACAUCGUACAUUCCUUCAUCUCAAGUUCAAUAUUCAAGGAAAUGCACCCCAUAUAGAAAUGAAAAGCAAAACUCGAAUACAACUAAAGGUCAGUAAGUCUUGGGUUCGACUGCGCACCCGAAUCUCCUUAGGGACGCAUGAAAUUAAGUCCAAAGGAGUUUGUUGCCCACAAUUAUAUUGUAGUUCUAUUGUAAAACGUGAUCUAAAUUAUUCUCCUCUACACCAAGAUUGUGGUCCUAAAUCCUAAAAGUAGUGCAUUGAUGGUUCUAAGGUUCUUAAAUUGAUGUGAGGAAAUAUCUACUUGCCAUAUGGUCCAUGACUCCAUGAGAGUAAAUUUAUUUUGCUUUAAUUAGUCCAAUAUCAAAUACUGAUUUUGGGGCUUAACAUCAAUGGUUAAUACAUACAAUUCAUCAAAUUGAUCAAAGAUUGUAAUUUCAUGGAGAGAUUUUUCAAUGUGCUGGAAACAUGGUCUGGUACACCAAUACAGCGUGUAUCAUAAUAUAAAUGGUUGGAUACUUGAAAAAAAUAAUUACAACGAUACUUCGUGUAUAGGAUUGUGUUCCUGGUACACUGAAAAAUAUCUCAACUUGUAGGAGUAUGUUGCCCACAAUUAUAUUGUAGUUCUAUUGUAAAACGUGAUCUAAAUUUAUUCUCCUCUACACCAAGAUUGUGGUCCUAAAUCCUAAAACUAGUGCAUUGAUGGUUCUAAGGUUCUUAAAUUGAUGUGAGGAAGUAUCUACUUGCCAUAUGGUCCAUGACUCCACGAGAGUAAAUUUAUUUUGCUUUAAUUAGUCCAAUAUCAAAUAUUGAUUUUGGGGCUUAACAGCAAUGGUUAAUACAUACAAUUCAUCAAAUUGAUCAAAGAUUGUAACUUCAUGGAGAGAUUUUCCAAUAUUUUGGAAACACAGUCCGAUACACCGACACAUCGCGUAUCAUAAUAUAAAUGGUUGGAUACUUGAAAAAAAAAUUACAAUCACUUGUAUUAUGACACUUGAUGUAUAGAACCAUGUUCCCGACAAACUGAAAAAUAUCUCAACUUCAUCAGUGUUUUCUUGCAUGCAAUAGAGUUGUGCCCACAACAUUAUCAUGGAAUUUUGGGGUUAAAAUGGAGGCUAACAAGAAAACUAUCAUUAUCUAACAACUUCCAAUGCUCCCUCCUACGUAGGUUUAUUUUAUUUUAUUUUAUUUUUUUUUAUUGUUGUUGUUGUUAAGAAUGAAACUCACUCCUAAAAGUUUAGUGGAUAUGAAACAGAUAAAGGGUAAUUUUAUCGGCACGUCUAAAUAAAUAUCUUGUUUUUAUAUUUACAAAAAAUGUAGACGCAAUAUGUUUAAGUACAAAUAACAUAUUUUUGAUGUAAACUAAAGAGAAUUAAAACAAACUCUUAUAUAACACAAUUCAUUUCCAAUUUAGUCAAAUCUAAAGAGCAAAGGUAAAGCUGAACAUCAACUUAGUUUUAAAAAUACACUUGUCGAAAGAGAUUUAAAACUUUGAUCGAAUACAACUUUCCCAACAUUCUAUAUGUACGUAUGAGAUUGAGUAAGAGAAAGAACAAAAAAGGAUCAAAAGCCACCCUAGCUUUAUAGCUCUCUUAGUCAAUCUAAUUCAUUAGUCCACAAACAAAUUUACUAAAUGCAAAUGACAUUCUUUGAUGAUAAAAUAGAAUUAUGAGUCUCGUGUUAUAAAUAGGCAAAAUUUAUAGAGAGAUAACCUUUACUCGGUGAAGGAACGAAGCAGUUGCAGAGUAAUAUACCGACACAAGCUGUUGCAGAGGAAGUAAUGUAUAUUAUUGCUAUUAGAUAUAUUUCUCUUUCUUUCUUCUUCUCAUUCACUCUUCUUUGCACAAUUGAAGUGCUCUAUUUAUAGAGCUACUUCUAUAGAAAAUUACAAAACAUUACUAUUUAGCUUAUGAGUAUAUAGUAUACACAUGUGAUACUUCACUAUACACAUUACUAUACACAUGUGGGCAAACAUACCCAUUAUUUACAACACUCCCCCUUGGAUGCCCACAUAUCAACAUCAGUUGCCUCAUUAAAACCUUGCUUGGAAAAACCCUGUGGGAAAAAACCAUAGCGAAGGAAAAAGAGUACAACUAUACCUGGAUGGUGUUGAGCAUGCUUAGGUUGCCUCGUUAAAACCUUGAUAGGAAAAACCCAGUGGGAAAAAUCCUAAGCGAAGGAAAAAGAGUACAACAUGCAUGUAUCAUGGAUGCUCCCCCUGAAUUGUAUCUCCCCCUGAUUCCGCAUUCUUCAAAUCUGUAAGCCGACGUAAUCCGAUUCCCUGUACCAACUUCUGAAAUGUGCACUUUGGUAGAGAUUUGGUGAACAAGUCUGCUAAAUUUUCAUUAGAACGGAUUUGUCUGACUUUAAUAACUUUAGCCUUCUGAAGCUCAUGUGCGCUGAAAAAUCUUGGAGAUAUGUGUUUAGUCUUAUCACCUUUGAUAAAUCCUUCCUUCAUCUAGGCGACACAGGCUGCAUUAUCUUCAUGGAUGACAGUUGGAGUGUCUGUCUUUGAAGGUAGACCACAUGAAUUCCGGAUGUGAUGGAUCAUUAAUCUUAACCAAGAACAUUCACGACUUGCUUCAUGUAAAGCAAUUAUUUCCGAAUGAUUGGAAGAUGUUGCAACUAGCGUUUGCUUUGUUGAUCGCCAUGAAAUUGCAGUAUCUCCAUUAGUGAACACAUAUCCAUUUUGUGAGCGGGCUUUAUGCGGAUCGGAGAGAAAAAACCAGCAUCUGCGUAUCCAACAAGGAUUUGUUCAUUUGUGGGCUUGUCUGAGUAGAAGAGACCCAUAUCUGUUGUCCCACGAAGGUAUCGUAGAACAUCUUUGACUCCUUUCCAAUGACGGAUUGUUGGAGCAGAGCUAUACCUGGCUAACAAGUUAACUGAAAAAGCUAUAUCUGGUCUAGUACAUUGUGCUAAAUACAAUAAAGCACCUAUUGCGCUCAAAUAUGGUACUUUUGGACCAAGGACCAGUUCAUCAUCUUUCUUUUGGACGAAAUGGAUCUUUCUUAAUGUCCAAAGAACGAACGACCAUUGGGGUGCUAAGUGGAUAAGCCUUGUCCAUGCCAAAUCGCUUCAGUAUUUUUUCAAUGUAAGCUGAUUGAUGGACCAAAAUUCCACUAACACAAUGCUCGAUCUGCAGGCCUAGACAAUAUUUGGUUUUCCCAAGGUCUUUCAUUUUCAAAUUCGCUUUUCAGAUAUUCAGCAGUUUUGUUGAGCUCUUCAAGGGUUCCAACUAGGUUCAUAUCAUCGACAUAUACUGCCACUAUAGCAAAUCCAGUAUUUGAUUUCUUAAUGAACACACAAGGGCAGAUGACAUUGUUGGCAUAUCCUUCUUUAAUCAAAUACUCACUGAGACGAUUAUAACCACAUUCGCCCAGAUUGUUUUAGCCCAUAUAGUGAUCGCCUUAAUUUGAUUGAGAACAUACCCCGUGGUUUGUUAGUUGCUUCAGGCAACUUAAGUCCUUCUGGGACUUUCAUAUAUAUGUCAGUAUCUAAUUCUCCAUAUAGAUACGCGGUGAUGACAUCCAUAAGUCGCAUAUCAAGUUUUUCUGAAAUCACCAAAACUUAUUAAAUAACGGAACGUAAUUGUGUCCAUUACAGGAGAGUAUGUCUCUUCAUAAUCAACUCCAGGUCUUUGUGAAAAACCUUGUGCAACAAGUCGUGCUUUAUAUCUUGCAAUCUCGUUUUUCUCGUUGCGUUUCCUUGUGAACACCCAUUUGUAACCUACGGGGUUUACAUCAGUUGGGGUUUGGACUACUGGUCCAAAAACACUUCGCCUUUCCAAGGAAUUUAAUUCUGCCUGGAUUGCAUCUUUCCACUUAGGCCAAUCUUUGUCUCUGUUUGCAUUCAUCAACAGAGCGGGGCUCAAUAUCAUCACUUAAUAUAAUUUCAGUGGCUAUUGCAAAUGCAAACAUGUCAUCGAUGAUUAUUUCAUUUCGAUCCCACAAUUCAUUAGUACAUGUAUAAUUUAUGGAUAUUUCUUUGCUUUCAUGUACUUCUGUCUCUUCAGGGACAUGUGUCUCAUCAAGGACAUUUUCUUUUUCUGGAAGUACAGAGUCACGAAUUGUGGAUUUAUCAUUCAAUUCCUUUUCUUGAAUGAUAUCAUUUGGGUUCAAUUGGGCCCUCAUCUUUCUCUUUCGAGGGGCUGAAUCUUUUGAACCCUGGGGGGUCUACCACGCUUCAGGCGUGCACUGGAUGAAUCAUUCGCUGCCACUUUAUUUUGUCCAACAGGGACAUCAAUUCUUGCAGGUGCGUUUGCAGCCGGUAUAUAUGACUGUGUCACUUUCGAAGCAUCAUUAAAUGCAUCUGGCAUUUGAUUAGCAAUACCUUGAAGAUGAACGAUCCUUUUUCACUUCAUUUUCACAUUGAGUGCUUCUUGGAUCAAAAUGAGAUAAGGUGGGAACAACCCAUGUUUAGCUCUUGUCGUUCUUCUGGAACGGGUCUUUUCUCCCCCUAACGACGGGAAAACUAUCUCAUCAAAAUGACAAUCAGCAAAACGAGCUGUAAACACAUCACCAGUCAAAGGUUCCAAAUAUCUAAUGAUGGAUGGUGAAUCAAAACCCACAUAAAUUCCCAAUCUGCGCUGAGGUCCCAUUUUAGUUCGUUGUGGUGGUGCAAUAGGCACAUAAACAGCACAACCAAAAAAACUCGUAAAUGUGAAAUAUUUGGCUGAUGUCCAAACACGAGUUGUAUUGAUGAGUAUUGGUGGUUGGCUAUGGGUCUCAAUCUAACCAAUGAUGCAGCAUGUAAUAUGGCAUGUCCCCAUGUAGAAACUGGCAAUUUUGUUUUCAUGAACAGAGUGCGGGCUAUUAAUUGAAGCCGCUUGAUAAAUGCCUCUGCUAAACCAUUUUGAGUAUGGACAUGAGGAACAGGGUGUUCAACACAUUAAUGCCCAGUGCCAUACAGUAAAUCAUCAAAUGUUUGAGACGUAAAUUCACCAGCGUUAUCAAGUCGAAUGGACUUAAUGGGAUGAUCUGGGAACUGUGCUCGCAACUUAAUUAUCUGAGCAAGAAGUCUCGCAAAAGCUACAUUUCGAGUAGACAAUAGGCAAACAUGUGACCAUCGGGUAGAUGCAUCAACCAAAACCAUAAAAAUAUCGAAAUGGUCCACAAGUUGGUUGAAUAGGUCCACAAAUAUCCCCUUGAAUUCUUUGCAAAAAUGAUGGGGAUUCAUCAUCAACCUUUAGUUGUGAUGGUCUAAUUACCAACUUCCCUUGGGAACAAGCCUUGCAAGGAUUAUCAUUCGAGACAUUAAUGUGUUUUGCUCAGUAAUGGAUGUCCAUUAGAGUUGGUAAUGAUUCUACGCAUCAUGGUAGAUCCUGGAUGACCUAGACGGUCAUGCCAAAGCAUAUAAACCUUUGAAUCAAUGAACUUCUGGUUCAUGACAGUAUAUGCCUCAACUGUCUUUAUGUAUGUACAAUACAAUCCACUCGAUAAACCAUGCAACUUCUCCAAUAUACGCUUCUGGGUAUCAUUGGAGGUAAUGCAUAAAUAUUCCACAUUUUCUACACUUUUCGUUUCAAGGUGGUAUCCAUUUAAACGUAUGUCUUUAAAACUCAACAAAUUUCGAAUGGACUGAGUAGCAUAUAAUGCAUUCUUUAUAGACAAUAUUGUUCCAUUUGGUAACAUAAUCUGGGCUUUUCCUGAGCCUUCAAUUACAUCUGAUGGUCCUGAUAUUGUUGUUACCUUUACUUUUGCAAGUACCAAAUUCGAGAAAAUACUUUCGGUCUCGAAGUAUUGAAUGCGUGGUUGCGCUAUCUGCAAGACAAAAGUCUCCGCCAUUGAUCUUGUUUUGAGAAUAACCAUAAUUUUUAUCCAUGAUCUCUGAGUAAAGAAAAAGCAGUUUAUUUCAUACUGGAAUACUACUUUUAUUGAAUUGAAAAUGCGAGCAUUAAACCAUAGGUACAAAUAACAUGAGUACAUUAAACAUAAAUAAUUCAAUCGGACCCAUAAACUUCAUUCCCUCUUUCAUUAAUAAAGUCUGUAGCAUCCAGGUGGGUUGUGUUUAACUGUCCUGAUAAAUUGGUCACUGGAUCAGGGGUUUCCAUUGGUUUAGCCUGGUCAAGGAAAUUGAUCUCGACACCCUUUUCCUUGAAGGAGGCUUGAUAUAGUUUCCACCAGAUGCUUUGGGGUGCGACAAGUACGCGCCCAAUGUCCGUUGCCACCACACCUAUGGCAACCUCCUUCAUGACUUCUAGGAGUGUUCACAUGAGCUUUUCCUUUCUGGCGAUUGGUAUUUUUAAAGCUCGGGCCUGGAUUAUACCUUGGAACCUGGUUGUGAAACUGGACACCAUGGUUCUUGCUUUUCCCUUUCCACCGACCUUGCUUGUGGCCACGUCCUCGUUUGUAAUUAUUGCCACGAGAGGAUAUGGUAUUCCUUUCAAGGGAAGCAACAUUCACUUCUGGGAACGGUGCUGAUCCAGUAGGUCGGGAAUUAUGGUUUUUUCAUGAGAAGCUCAUUGUUCUGUUCAACUACCAGGAGCACAGAUAUCAGCUGGUUGUAUUCAGUGAAGCCUCGCGCUCUAUACUGUUGUUGCAGUACCAUGUUAGAGGCGUGGAAUGUGCUGAAAGUCUUUUCCAAUAACAUCUCAUCAGUGAUAGUAUCCCCACAGAGUUUCAUCUGAGAGGUAAUUCUGAACAACGCCGAAUUGUACUCAGCCACUGAUUUGAAAUCCUGGAUCCUCAGGUGUGUCCAGUCAUAGCGAGCUUUUGGAAGAAUCACCGUUGUCUGGUGAUUGUAUCUGCUUCUCAAGGCAUUCCAAAGGGCUAACGGAUCUUCAACCGUUAAGUACUCGCUCUUUAGUGCCUCAUCAAGAUGACGACGAAUAAAAAUCAUGGCAUUUGCCCGAUCUUGAGAGGAUGAGCUGCUUUCUUCCUUGAUGGUAUCUCCAAGAUUUGCUGCUUCCAGAUGGAUCUUGGUAUCCAAUACCCAUGUAAGGUAAUUCUUUCCAGUAAUGUCCAGGGCAGCAAAAUCAAGCUUUGCCAAGUUUGCCAUUUUCUUUUUCUGAAAGAAAAAUGAGGUGUGUAAGAACUUGCAAUAAUUUGUGUACUGGAGAAAUAUAUUGUUAGAACUUCUGGUUCUUACAAAUUUUUGAUCUUCAGGCCAAAAUGAUAAGUACUCGAAACUUCAGGCUCGAGAUUUACACAAUUAAUGAGAAUGGCAAUUGUACCGCACCAUUCUUAUCGAAAUAAGUAUAGGAUGGGUGAUUAUUCCGCACUACUUUAAACAGCAGGAAAAUUUAAAUAUGUAGAGCAAGGUGGACGAUUAUACCGCACCACCUAAAAUUGCGAUAAAAUUUAAAUAUGCAAAGCAGGGUGGACGAUUAUACCGCACCACCUAAAAUUGCGAUAAAAUUUAAAUAUGCAAAGCAGGGUGGACGAUUAUACCGCACCACCUAAAAUUGCGAUAAAAUUAAAUAACGGGAAAAUUUAAAUAUGCAGGAUAGAGCGGGCGAUUAUACCGCUCCACUUAAAAUUUGCAGUAAAAUUAGAUCUGCAGUCCAAGAUAGGCGAUAGAACCGCACAAUCUUGGAUUGCAUAAAUAAUCAGUGGGUUAGUAGUCAAUAUCUACACCAAACAAGAAAUCAAAGAUAUAAGUGACUGUUAGUUGGAGAACUAGAAGUAAACAUGGUGCAAACAGUUCUUCGCGAGGGUAUACCCAGCAAUUGAGAGAGAGGAAGAAGAAGAACAGUAAAAACCUUAGAGGAAACAUUUUUUUUUUUUUUCUUUCGGUGAAAGGAAAUGAGAAAUGAUUAGAGAGUCGUGCUGAUAACGUGUUAUAAAUAGGCAAAAUUUAUAGAGAGAUAACCUUUACUCGGUGAAGGAACGAAGCAGUUGCAGAGUAAUAUACCGACACAAGCUGUUGCAGAGGAAGUAAUGUAUAUUAUUGCUAUUAGAUAUAUUUCUCUUUUCUUUCUUCUUCUCAUUCACUCUUCUUUGCACAAUUGAAGUGCUCUAUUUAUAGAGCUACUUCUAUAGAAAAUUACAAAACAUUACUAUUUAGCUUAUGAGUAUAUAGUAUACACAUGUGAUACUUCACUAUACACAUUACUAUACACAUGUGGGCAAACAUACCCAUUAUUUACAACAUCUCGAACAAUGAUUCGAUUAAUGAUAAAGAAAGAAAUUUUUAGUUCAAUUAUCCACCUUAACGAUAAAAACAAAAAAUUGAGCAAAUUUUAGUGAGUCUGACUCAUAAUGAUCAAACUCUAUUGGAUGAGUUUAAUUUGUGUCUAUUUAAUAAACAGAUCUCAAAAUUUAAAUUCAAAAUUGAUGAUAGAUAUGAUGUUAAGCAUUAUCAUCAAUUGAAAGUGGUAAGUGAAAUUUUUUUUUUUUUUUAAAGGUGCAAGAAGAAGUAGGGCGGGUGCCUAUAGAGAAGGAUUAUCUCCCCUUUUUUUUCCCUCCCUUUCCUUUUCUUCUUAUUUGAACGAUCACGGUUAAGUUACGUCAAUAUCUUAUAUUAAUUUUUUAUAGAAAUAUGAAAUAAAAAAUGUGAGAAGGGAUGAUAGAAUGGAAUAGAAAGAAAAUAUGAGAUAAUCCUAAUCCGGGGCCUAUAGGCACGUGAGAAAUGGACCAUAGAAAGCAACCCUACACGGUGACAUAAAACUGAUGGGAGACCAUCGUACAUGGACAGAGGCGUCCACUCCAUAUCCUCUGCUUCCUGGGCCCCACCGGGCCCACUUCAUACGUCCUUCCACUCCAUCUCUUAAAAAUUGCAGGUGGUGGGACCCACUUAACUUUUGACUUGAUCAUCAUCCAAUCAGGGCCGUGCAUAUUACGCCACGUAUAGGAAGGCUUCGACGUCGGGUGGUGUCCAACGAGCUGGAAGAUUCUGAGGGAGACGCUGUCUUUUAACGUGAUGCUUUGGACGAGAUCCGAGCAUCGCAGCUGUACACGUGUGCAUGACACGUCAAAACCCAAGCAGCUAGGGUUUUGAUGGUCGGUGGAAAAUCUCCGAAAACGCCUCGUGAUUCGAGAACGAGGGGCACUUGGCAAGCUAUAUAUGGCUCAUUUUUUUUAGUGCCGUAAGAUAUGGGAAUGUAAGUGACAAAAUCUUCUCUUACAAAUAUGCUUUAUGUUGCAUUGUUGAAAGAAAUGUUGACUUCACUGAAAUUUUUGGGAAUUGAAGAUAAAAUCAAAAGGAGAGGGAGAGAAGGAUUUGUAUUGAUUGACGAAAUGAAUAUUAUACUCUGUUUUUAUAAGAGAAAUUAUAAUUAUUUUAAUCAAAUACUAACAAACUUAUUAAUUAUAUUUCUAACUGUAUUACACUUGUACCCUUAAUAAGAAAAAGAUUGAUCGACAAAAAAAAAUGAAAGAAAAAGACUACUCGAUAUAUGUGUAUGGAUCAAAGAUGAAGAUAACGAGAAAUGACUUUUAAUCCUGCACACAGUGUUCUAACCAUGGAGCGAUCGAUAUUCUAAUAUAAAUCAUAUGAUCUAUGUGAUAUGAGAGAAGUAUAAUUUUUGAAUUUGGUUAUACAAGUUCCGUAACUAAUUGUUUUGUUUAAUUGUAGUGGGUAUGGUUAGACUCUUGAUGAAAUGAUUACCAUGUAAGUGAAAAAGCUGUCAUUGAGGCAAAACGUAUUUUUGGCACACUAAAAAAUGUUUCCAUAGGAGAUAGCUUGCACUGUGAAUUCAUGCAAAUUUUACGAAUUUAUGUCUCAAACCGAAGCUCUUUAGUUGACUCGAACACAUUAUACUUUAAAGCCCUCUUUGUGCCGAUUAAAUGGACUUUCAUUCUAACUAAAAUUUGCAAAUACAUAAAUAAUAUAUAUAUAUAUAUGUAUAUGUAUAAAUAUAUUAUCUUUUUAGAUGGGGUAGGUGAGGUGAGCAAACGUUUCUUACAAUUGUAGCCUAUAAAAUUUUGCAUGCAUAAUAUUCAUUUUUAUAUAAUUUAAUGAGAUGACUUGAGUUACAAUCCUUUUGAUUUUUUAUUAGUUUUCAAUCAAACACAAGCUUUAAUUAAAAAUGAGAACACUCCAAAACCCCAAGGGAAAAUUUGCCAAAUUAAAAAAAUAAAGAAAAAGAAAUCAGCCUAUGGAAACCUCUUGCUAAAUCAUGGAUUAAAGGGACUUAUGUACUAUGUUAAAUCACUCGAGUUAUGUCAAAUAUAUUUUUUAAGGGUAAUGUUAGGGAGACUAAAUUUUAAACCAAAUUUGUAAAUCAAAUGACGUGUCACUAAUACGAAAAAGCACGUUAAUGAACGCUUAUGUAAUAAUCUAAUCAUCAACAACCACAUUAUUUGAUUUAAAAAAUUUAAUCUCUAUAGCAUUAUUUAUUUUUUAAAUAAGGAGUCCCAAUUGCCAAUGGUGAAUAGGUAGCAAUUUCAAUGGUCAUAUUCGAUAUCGGAGAUAUGAGUCCUGCUCUCCUACGAUCUUUAUUUUGAGGACCUGAAGACCAAAUGCAUAUUAGUCACAAGAUUAUGUUAGUUUAGAGCCAAAUGUUAAAAAAAAUUACAACUUAAUAAAUCAAAACAAGAAAAAUGAUAUUACUAAUCGUUCAUGAAUUUUAAGUUUGUCUUGGUUUAUUAAGUUGUUAAAUAUUAUAAGCCUUGAGAUAUAUAUACUAAUAUAAUUUUGUGACUAAUUAAUAUGAUUUUGGUCCUCACAGAUCCUCAAAAUGAGAACUUUAGAAGAGCAGGAUUGUUGCAGAUUUUACUAUUAAACUUUUGAGUAUGAAAGAGAAGUUAAACGACGCGUGACAGAGAUGUUUUGCAAUGAUUAUCAAAUUGCUUCUUCAAGUUUCUAAUUCUGUCAUGAAUUGAGAAGAGGAAGCAACCGCAUUCUCGACUUGGCUAAAUAUUAGCUAAAGAACAUACAUUAGGCUUAUAAGGAUAUGAUUGCAUCAAAAGCUGGCUUCCUUUUGAUUUCUUAAUGAAUUUCAAUUCCUAUGGUUUGAAUAUGGGAAACUUAUAUUUAGUUAUGGCUGCCCGAAUAAGACAGUUCUCUAAAUGAACAAUGAUUUGAACAAACUCGAAUGUGAGAUCAAAAUAUAGGAGAUCUCAUGUUUUAAUAGAGGAGAUCUCAUAUAUGUGAGAUUUGUAAACAUAUGACGUGGCUCGAGCAUCCUACACAAGUUUUCUCUCUUAAUUGGCAAUGAAGGAGAAUUUCCUUUGCGCUAAGGUUGAAAAUCAUAAGAUUUUGCAUUAUCAAGUUUCAAAAUAAAAUUAUUCACACAUCUACUGAUGACCUUAGGCCCUUCACAUUGGUUAAGGUGAGCGUGAUACCUAUUAUAAGAAUAAGAUAUUUGAUUUCUAUAAAAUUACUGCUAAACUAGUGUGAGUUCAAUAUAUUGGUAGCAUCUCGAGUUUGAUAUAUUGAACUUAGGAGUCUAAUAUUCUGAACUCAUGAGUUCAAUAAAUUUGUAUCACUCAAAUUUUCUGACCUACUAUAAAAAUAUGAUACAUCUAUGAGCUAAAUAUAUUGGUAUCAAAUUCACUUUUUUCGGCCUAGAACUUGUUGAUCACAAGAUGAUCACAUUACUCAUAGGAAAUUUAUCGAACACGAAGGAAAAUGAUGUGCCUCCCUAAUGUAUCUAAAAAAACUGUAAAAACUUUCUGCCUGGAUUUGAAAUGCAUGUGGUCUUUCAACCAAUCCCUUUCAUUGCCCAAGCAAAAAGGAUAAGUUGGUGGACAUUGCACACCCCUAUUUUUGGUGGCACAAGCUGUAGUUCCCAAUAAACAAAAGCACCACUAGGGUGCUCGUUGCUAACUCGAAAAGUAUGAUCAAAUUUGCUAAAGAAAUCACGCAAGAGAAGUUCCUCCAACACACUUAACCUUAUUGCCAAUUUGGCCAAGAUCAUAGUUCUCAACAUGGAGAUAUUUUUCAAGUGUAUCCGUAAUACGAGGUACGUAUCAUUAAACAAAUGAUGAGAUACUUGUAUUACAAAAUUACUAAUUUAAAAAUAAAACUUUCUUUCAGUUAUAUAAUGACACAUGAUAUUUACAUGUGUUCCAGCGCAAAAAAGAAAAAUUAUUCUCAACAUGAUAGAAGCAAGAACAUCACUAUCAUUUGAUGGGGUUGUGUGCCAAAUUGUCUCUCUUUUUGUUUAAUGGGACCCUUUCUAAUCGAUGUCAUGAUCUUAUAUCACCGGUUUUGGUAGCCAUAUUCCCAAGAAUCUAAACCCAAACGAAACCAAGAGUGGAGGACUGAUUAGUGAUUAUAUGGAAAGGAUGAAGAAUUAUGAACUUUAUGGUUAGCAACUUCUUGAGUUCUAUAUGUGGAAGAAAAAACUUCAGUCGAGCUGCUCUGUCACGAUACCUCAAAGACACGCACAAGGAGAUCCACCAAUGACGAAGGGUUUAUUUUUCCUUAUUUGUGUCUUGGAUGGACGGACGUGGCAGGGUACCCCAACAGAAAAUUUUCUUCUAUGCCUUUUGGCCUCCACCAAAGAAAGGAAAGAAAAGAAAAAGUGGACGAAUAAAAAGAGAGAAAAUAACAUGGAUGACUCGCCAUCAUGAAGUUGACCCCCACAAUAUGAAUGAAAGAAAGAAAGAUGGAUGCUUUGCUUCGCUGAGGUUCACAAGAAAUCUGUGCAACCAGAUUUUAUCGCUAGCAACAUUAUACAUUUCAAUAGGUAUACAUACAUAUAUACAUACACACAGACCAAUCAUCUGCACGUCCCUCUUCUGGUUAAACAUUCUGCAGCUCAUUUUUAACUUCAAAAGUUCCUUGGUGUGCAAGAAACGGCAAGCAACAUCGGGAUAGAAGCAUAAAGAGGAACUAGUAAGGGCUCGUGUUUAGAACUUGUUUCAUGAAUUUUUCAAGGGUAAAUUACACAGUAGCCCCUCAGGUUUUGAGGUUUAUUACAACCUCAUACAACAUCUUCAAAACAUUUCACUUUUAUACCUUAAGUACUAUUUUAUUUCAAAAUAAUACAUCCGUUACAUUUUUCAUCUAUUGAUCCGUUAAAUGCUGACGUGGUUGCCACAUGUAUGCUACGUGGCUGCCAAAUGUCUGCCACAUGGUAAAUAAUUUUUUUUUUUAAACCUGAAUUUUCUUUAAAAAAAAUAAAAAAUAAACCCACUAUCCCUAACCCCCCCCCAAGCAACCCAUAAUCCAAAAACCUGCAGCAGUAGCAAGAAGAAGAAGAGGAGGGAGGAAGAAGGAAAAACAAAAAAAAAAAAAAUCCCAAAACACAGUUCCUCCCCCCAGCGACCCAAAUCCCUAUCCUUAACCCAAAAUCCAAAAACCUACAGCAGCAGCAAGAAGAAGAGGAGGAGGGAGGAAGAAGGGGGAAAAAAAAAUCCCCUCACCCUCCUUCACCUCCCCCCCUCCCCCUGCGACCUCACCUCGCUCCCCCCCACCCCCCGCGUGACCUCAGCCUCCUUCCCCACCCCCCCCCCGGGGCGACCUCACCUCGCUCCCCCUCCCGCACGACCUCACCUCGCUUCCCCCCCCCCCAAAAAAAAUCUUAUCCCCUCAUCCUCAUCUCUCCUCUCUUCUCCCCGCAAUCCCCAAACCCAUCUCCCCCAUCUUCUUCUUCUUCCCUGCAAACCCGGGAAAAAAAAAAAAAAAACCCUCCAGAUCCCGUCUCGCCAUCGCCGAAUUUAAGGAGUGGGGGUGUGUAGAGAAGGGAAGAGGGUGGGUGCGAAGGUUGGUGCGGAGGGAGGGAGGGAGGGCCACGGGUUGGGGGGUGCACAAGGAGGGUCGCAGGCGGGUGGGGGUUCUUUCUGGGUUUCUGAUUUUGGGGGGUUAUGUGUUUCUGGGUUUUGGUUGACGGGGUGCUUUAUUUCAGUUUUUUUUUAAUUAUUAUUUAUAUUUAGAAGAUUUAGGUUUUUAAAAAAAAUUUAAAAAAUUAAUUUUUUUUGCCACAUGACAGAUAUUUAGCAGCCACAUGGCAUAUAUGUGGCAGCCACGUCAGCAUUUAACAGAUCAAUGGAUGGAAAAUGUAACGGAUGUAUUAUUUUGAAAUAAAAUAGUACUUAAGGUAUGAAAGUGAAAUUUUUUGAAGAUGUUGUAUGGGAUUGAAAUAGACUCCAAACCUGAGGUAUGAAAAUGUAAUUUACCCAUUUUUCAAAUAAGAAGAUGAAAUGAGAGGCUUUUCCGUCAAGUUGCAUUAACAAGAUAAUUUUAUUUAAUUACAUGAAUUGCAUACAAAAAUGGUCCAUUAAACACUAAUUAAGAUCCCCAUGAAAUAAAAAAAGAUUACAAAUGGGGCAAAAUCCACCAUCUUUUGCAUUUGAAACCUAGCUCCCACCACCACAUCUGGAUCGGGGUGCGACAUUUUGCUACUUAUUUUCACUUCUAUGCCAUACUUUAAACAAGAAGAUAAUAACCCGGGAAUUCGAAUUUUGCAGAAGAAACUCAGUAAGACCAGGACCAAAAGGCAUGAUCUUCCAUCGGGAAUCCGAAAUUACAGGAAUUUGCAGGCGUAUCGGAGUAAUCAACAUCUUCAAGCUUUGGGAAGAUGUAUGGAGGCAGCAGGCUUUUGCUGAAGUUAUCUUCUUCAUCUUGGGAAAGGUCAGACUGCUCAGGUUCGAAAACAUAUGAAGAAUCACCAGGCUCUAAGAGUGAAGAGUGAACUCCAUCCGGGUAAUGUGGGCUGUCUGAAUCAAAUAUGUCACUCCUGCCUGAACUAUGAUCUUCCUGCUUAGAGGCCACAGCUGAGACUUUUGAUACUUCGCCUUCGGAGGCCGAGUCAGCAAUUGGCUUCUGCGGC